GGGGAUGUCCGGUUUCGACGGGGACUUUGAGACUUUGGGAGCCAUCUGCAGGUUGGACUGCAUUAAAGACCAAACUUAAAUAUAAACGCAAAUAACAAUAACAACGCUUACGCGUUCGCAGCUUGACGCUGUCAUCCUGCCUGCGGUUCCUGCGCCGCAGUAACAGGGUGUUAACCUAAGGCAGGGAACGGCUCUUCCUAAGCUUUGCGGAAGAGACGGAAUGAUGAAGCUACUGAUCUUUUGAUCCCGUCGAUGGGAGCCUGAGAGAGGGAAUGUCAAUACGUCGACUAUGAUGGUAGCCGCCCGGGGCCAAGGGGUUUUCGGACAGGAGUUCGAUUCUCCUCAUCUCCACU
RNAcentral lists this transfer-messenger RNA (353 nucleotides) under bovine gut metagenome. It matches the Rfam family "transfer-messenger RNA". From Rfam's summary of the family: Bacterial tmRNA, also known as 10Sa RNA or SsrA, is named for its dual tRNA and mRNA-like properties. Its role is to liberate the mRNA from a stalled ribosome. To accomplish this part of the tmRNA is used as a reading frame that ends in a translation stop signal. The record is from RNAcentral.